Molecule: long non-coding RNA, 1354 nt
Organism: Larimichthys crocea (large yellow croaker)
Lineage: Eukaryota; Metazoa; Chordata; Actinopteri; Sciaenidae
Exons: 2
Source: RefSeq, a predicted model, not a curated record
UGCAGAAUUCCGAGGCUUGCAUCCAGCAGCAUCGCGAGUCUCUAGGCUGAAAUUUUUGUAUAAAUGGACGCACAAGGUGGAGCACCUGAUUAACAACGUAACAAGAACAUCCACAUCUGUGCGCACUAUCCCUCUGCCUGCAUCUGCAGUGCAGGCCAAACGGCUGUGAUUGGAGGAGAGAGAGGACACACCCCUGUUUGAAUGGACAAGAGCUGAGACUCAGCACAACGUGACUGGAUCAAGAGGACUCUCAUGUUGCUGGGCUUGGUGAAAAUUACCAUUGUUUCUGUUAACACAAGCACAAAAAAAUAAAAAUGAAGAGAAAAAAAUAAGACAAAAGGAACAUGGGGAGAAAGGUGUUACAGGAAUGUAGGUACAGGACAUUACAGAUCAGCAAAGGCGAGAGUAGAAUAAUGUGUAACAGCCACCUCUCUGUCUCUCUCCCUCUGUCACACUAUCCUCUCACACACUUACAUUUCAACACAGCAAGGAUGCUGCACACGUCAACAACCCUCUGCCUGUAACAACUGAGUAAGCAGUUACGAUUGUGGAUAACAUAAUUUCUGGGUUAGCGGUGAGCUCAGGGAGAUGUGAGCUCAUUCAGGAAGACAUUUAAAGGGCACGUUGGACACAUCCCAUCCCUUUAAAUGAGAAAAUGUGGAGGCAGUAAAAGGGAGUUAGUCUCUCAGCAGGUAGAAGAAUGAUGCAACCUGAGCUGAUAGCAUUAAAUAUUAACUAUCAUUUUAAACCGACUGGCAUCAGGACAACCCCAGGGAAACAAACUGCAAAUGUCACAAACACACACAUGGUUGCAAACAUGCAAACACGCUGACUAUUCACAUACUGUACAGCAAUAAUCUGUCUUUUACUUUACUACUCACGUAUGUUUAUCUCUUAGCAUUUGAUGACAAGAAAUGACAUAUUCCUCUGACACAUUCGUAAACAAUAAAACCUGCUCUUGCUCAAGGGGUUUUGUUGCUACAGCUUAACGUGAUCUGGUAUGACCAGUAUCUUAUGAUGGUUAAUGGCUAGCUAAUGUUUGAGCUUUGAGCUUUAACUUUUGAUAGAUUCUUGAGAUGAUAGUGUUUUGUAACCGAUAUUACUGAGUCAGUUCAUUGACUUAAUGAAAAAAAUUGUGGCCACAGUGGCUCUCUUUAGCCACAUUUACGCUGUCUCUGAUUAUCUGUGCUCAAUAUUUCAGAGAUAUUGAUAAAUAUAUAUACUAUAAAAUAUCCUUACUUCAUUCAUUGUUACUAAUUCAUCUAUACCACUAUGAGCAUUGGUCUGUAAUGACACUAAUCAUCCUGUAAGCACUCACCUUUUCCGAGACACAAAUAUUUAAAUUUGGGCAAAA